RNAcentral lists this small nuclear RNA (164 nucleotides) under Salmo salar (Atlantic salmon). Its description in RNAcentral is "U1 spliceosomal RNA (ENSSSAG00075000535.1)". It matches the Rfam family "U1 spliceosomal RNA". Rfam says of the family: U1 is a small nuclear RNA (snRNA) component of the spliceosome (involved in pre-mRNA splicing). Its 5' end forms complementary base pairs with the 5' splice junction, thus defining the 5' donor site of an intron. Lineage: Eukaryota; Metazoa; Chordata; Actinopteri; Salmoniformes; Salmonidae. The record is from Rfam by way of RNAcentral.
AUACUUACCUGGCAAGGGAGACACCGUGAUCAAGAAGGCGGUUCACCCAGGGCGAGGCUCAGCCAUUGCACUCCGGCUGUGCUGACCCCUGUGAAUUUCCCAAAUGUGGAAAUCUCGAUUGCAUAAUUUCUGGUAGUGGGGGACUGCGUUCGCGCUCUCCCCUG